UAAGGAAUAUUGGUCAAUGGACGCAAGUCUGAACCAGCCAUGCCGCGUGGAGGAUGAAGGCCCUCUGGGUUGUAAACUUCUUUUAUUGGGGAAGAAACCGGUCUUUUCUAAGGCCGUUGACGGUACCCAUUGAAUAAGCACCGGCUAACUCCGUGCCAGCAGCCGCGGUAAUACGGAGGGUGCAAGCGUUAUCCGGAUUCACUGGGUUUAAAGGGUGCGUAGGUGGGCAGGUAAGUCAGUGGUGAAAUCUCUAAGCUUAACUUAGAAACUGCCGUUGAUACUAUCUGUCUUGAAUAUAGUGGAGGUGAGCGGAAUAUGUCAUGUAGCGGUGAAAUGCUUAGAUAUGACAUAGAACACCCAUUGCGAAGGCAGCUCGCUACACUAUUAUUGACACUGAGGCACGAAAGCGUGGGGAUCAAACAGGAUUAGAUACCCCGGUAGUCC
This 444-nucleotide ribosomal RNA is filed under the name uncultured bacterium. Its description in RNAcentral is "bacterial SSU rRNA". It matches the Rfam family "Bacterial small subunit ribosomal RNA", at positions 355 to 796 of the family's 1533-position model. The record is from RNAcentral.